AGAGUUUGAUCAUGGCUCAGGAUGAACGUUGGCGGCGUGCCUAACACAUGCAAGUCGAACGAAGUUAUUUAGGAAAGUUCCUUCGGGAACCGGAAUCUUUAGCUUAGUGGCGGACGGGUGAGUAACGCGUGAGCAAUCUGCCUUUAAGAGGGGGAUAACAGUCGGAAACGACUGCUAAUACCGCAUAACGUAUAGAAUUCGCAUGAUUUCUAUACCAAAGGAGCAAUCCGCUUUUAGAUGAGCUCGCGUCUGAUUAGCUAGUUGGCGGGGUAACGGCCCACCAAGGCGACGAUCAGUAGCCGGACUGAGAGGUUGAACGGCCACAUUGGGACUGAGACACGGCCCAG
This 347-nucleotide ribosomal RNA is filed under the name uncultured bacterium. RNAcentral's name for it is "bacterial SSU rRNA". It matches the Rfam family "Bacterial small subunit ribosomal RNA", at positions 8 to 334 of the family's 1533-position model. The record is from RNAcentral.